This 105-nucleotide ribosomal RNA is filed under the name Caerostris darwini. Lineage: Eukaryota; Metazoa; Arthropoda; Arachnida; Araneae; Araneidae. The record is from RNAcentral.
UACCAUGCUGAAUAUACCGGUUCUCGUUAGAUCACCGAAGUCAAGCAUCAUUGGGCAUCGGUCAGUACUUGGGUGGGUGACCACCUGGGAACACCGCGUGCCGUU